AGGAUGAACGCUAGCGGUUUGCCUAACACAUGCAAGUUGCACGGCGCCAUACCUCUCGGGGUAUGGUGCAGUGGCGGACGGGUGAGUAACGCGUAAGGACCUGCCCCUGGGAGGGGGAUAACAGCUGGAAACGGCUGCUAAUACCCCAUAGCCUGAGGAGGGAAAGGAGAGAUCCGCCCAGGGAGGGGCUUGCGUCUGAUUAGCUAGUUGGGAGGGGUAAUGGCCUCCCAAGGCAACGAUCAGUUGCUGGUCUGAGAGGAUGAUCAGCCACACUGGGACUGAGACACGGCCCAGACUCCUACGGGAGGCAGCAGUGAGGAAUCUUCCGCAAUGGGCGAAAGCCUGACGGGGCAAUGCCGCGUGGAGGAUGAAGGCCCAAGUGGGUCGUAAACUUCUUUAGAUCAGAGACGAAGAGAUGACGGUACCUAGAAGAACUAAGCAUCGGCUAAACCCCGUGCCAGCAGCCGC
RNAcentral lists this ribosomal RNA (468 nucleotides) under uncultured bacterium. RNAcentral's name for it is "SSU rRNA". It matches the Rfam family "Bacterial small subunit ribosomal RNA", at positions 26 to 518 of the family's 1533-position model. The record is from RNAcentral.